GAAGCAUAAAAAACAAUUAACAUAUAUAUUCUUACAUUUGUCUGGCUAUCUACCUAUUGUACUAUAUAAAACUUCAUACAAGAUGAGUCUAGUUCAUAAAGGAGAGAAAAAACUCUUUAAAAGUCAGAUAAAUGUAAGUCAAGUUUUACUUAUGUACUUGCAUACUGGCAGAAAUGAUCAUUCCCGCAGGGUCGCAAGGAUCUUGUAGAUUUUGAACUCCAUAAUCAAAACUCUUUUGAGCAACAAAAUUUUAAAAAUUUAAGGUCUUUCCAAGUUCCAUGUGACCCUGUGGGAGUGAGCAUCUCGGGUAUGUACAUAUAUGUAGAACUUAAUUUACUAUUAUAUGAUUCUUAACAUUGCAGUAAUCCUUUCGGAAGAUUUUCAAGGUCUUCGCCUUCUCUAGCCAUGACAGAAAUAUUAGGUCCAAGGCACAACAUCUACCAGGUAAACCGAAGGGACAAUGUCAUUUUGACGUCCUUGAUCACUUCCUCUUUAUCAUGCCAGAGUAUCACUUCAUUCCAGGUUAAUACCAACCUUUAACCUAAGCAGAGUGUUUGAAAUAAUAUCUGCAGAUAAUAAAAAAAAUACAUCAUACUAACAUCCAUAUAUAGAUCUUCUCUUCUUUUUUUUAUUAUGUGAAUUUUUCACCAUGUACACCGACUCCAAGAGAGGUGGACAGAAGUGACCAAGGUACACCUGGUCCAGUAUCCCUGUAUGAGACCUUUUACAGAAAAGAGAGAAGUGCCAGUGUGGAAACUAAGAUACCACAUCACAUUUGUUUACAAGAGGCUAUAAACUUUACUGAUUACAAUUUCUGGAGAGCAAUGUACUUCAAAAAAUGAUAUAUCUGUAAAAAGGAAUGAGGAAAUGUUUUCUUUUCCUUUUUUUCCUAGUAAAAUCAUCAGAAAGCUCAAUCAUUUCUGGGACCGGAUGCUAAAUUCUUUAGAUGAAUGA
Molecule: long non-coding RNA, 954 nt
Organism: Daucus carota subsp. sativus
Lineage: Eukaryota; Viridiplantae; Streptophyta; Magnoliopsida; Apiales; Apiaceae
Exons: 2
Source: RefSeq, a predicted model, not a curated record